This 326-nucleotide ribosomal RNA is filed under the name Mycolicibacterium flavescens. RNAcentral's name for it is "bacterial SSU rRNA". It matches the Rfam family "Bacterial small subunit ribosomal RNA", at positions 188 to 529 of the family's 1533-position model. The record is from RNAcentral. Lineage: Bacteria; Bacillati; Actinomycetota; Actinomycetes; Mycobacteriales; Mycobacteriaceae.
AUGGCCUGGUAGGGGAAAGCUUUUGCGGUGUGGGAUGGGCCCGCGGCCUAUCAGCUUGUUGGUGGGGUGAUGGCCUACCAAGGCGACGACGGGUAGCCGGCCUGAGAGGGUGACCGGCCACACUGGGACUGAGAUACGGCCCAGACUCCUACGGGAGGCAGCAGUGGGGAAUAUUGCACAAUGGGCGCAAGCCUGAUGCAGCGACGCCGCGUGAGGGAUGACGGCCUUCGGGUUGUAAACCUCUUUCGGUAGGGACGAAGCGCAAGUGACGGUACCUACAGAAGAAGGACCGGCCAACUACGUGCCAGCAGCCGCGGUAAUACGUA